CAAACAUCAAAUUCGAUGACAGCACCGCAUGACUGACAUCCGUGCUAGUGGAACACUUAGAGCACCAUCCAAGCAUGAUCAUUGCCAGGGUCGCUGACUGGCCCUUGUGCUGGUGGCAUGUAAAAAGCACCAUUCGAGCAUGAUCGUUACCAGCAU
Molecule: long non-coding RNA, 156 nt
Organism: Octopus sinensis (East Asian common octopus)
Lineage: Eukaryota; Metazoa; Mollusca; Cephalopoda; Octopoda; Octopodidae
Exons: 3
Source: RefSeq, a predicted model, not a curated record